Molecule: ribosomal RNA, 1199 nt
Filed under: Lactobacillus delbrueckii
Lineage: Bacteria; Bacillati; Bacillota; Bacilli; Lactobacillales; Lactobacillaceae
Description: bacterial SSU rRNA
Rfam family: Bacterial small subunit ribosomal RNA
Source: RNAcentral
UACAUGCAGUCGAGCGAGCUGAAUUCAAAGAUCCCUUCGGGGUGAUUUGUUGGAUGCUAGCGGCGGAUGGGUGAGUAACACGUGGGCAAUCUGCCCUAAAGACUGGGAUACCACUUGGAAACAGGUGCUAAUACCGGAUAACAACAUGAAUCGCAUGAUUCAAGUUUGAAAGGCGGCGCAAGCUGUCACUUUAGGAUGAGCCCGCGGCGCAUUAGCUAGUUGGUGGGGUAAAGGCCUACCAAGGCAAUGAUGCGUAGCCGAGUUGAGAGACUGAUCGGCCACAUUGGGACUGAGACACGGCCCAAACUCCUACGGGAGGCAGCAGUAGGGAAUCUUCCACAAUGGACGCAAGUCUGAUGGAGCAACGCCGCGUGAGUGAAGAAGGUCUUCGGAUCGUAAAGCUCUGUUGUUGGUGAAGAAGGAUAGAGGCAGUAACUGGUCUUUAUUUGACGGUAAUCAACCAGAAAGUCACGGCUAACUACGUGCCAGCAGCCGCGGUAAUACGUAGGUGGCAAGCGUUGUCCGGAUUUAUUGGGCGUAAAGCGAGCGCAGGCGGAAUGAUAAGUCUGAUGUGAAAGCCCACGGCUCAACCGUGGAACUGCAUCGGAAACUGUCAUUCUUGAGUGCAGAAGAGGAGAGUGGAACUCCAUGUGUAGCGGUGGAAUGCGUAGAUAUAUGGAAGAACACCAGUGGCGAAGGCGGCUCUCUGGUCUGCAACUGACGCUGAGGCUCGAAAGCAUGGGUAGCGAACAGGAUUAGAUACCCUGGUAGUCCAUGCCGUAAACGAUGAGCGCUAGGUGUUGGGGACUUUCCGGUCCUCAGUGCCGCAGCAAACGCAUUAAGCGCUCCGCCUGGGGAGUACGACCGCAAGGUUGAAACUCAAAGGAAUUGACGGGGGCCCGCACAAGCGGUGGAGCAUGUGGUUUAAUUCGAAGCAACGCGAAGAACCUUACCAGGUCUUGACAUCCUGCGCUACACCUAGAGAUAGGUGGUUCCCUUCGGGGACGCAAAGACAGGUGGUGCAUGGCUGUCGUCAGCUCGUGUCGUGAGAUGUUGGGUUAAGUCCCGCAACGAGCGCAACCCUUGUCUUUAGUUGCCAUCAUUAAAUUGGGCACUCUAAAGAAACUGCCGGUGACAAACCGGAAGAAAGGGGGGGAUAAAGCCAAGUCACCAUGCCCCCUUUGAACCGGGGGACAACA